UUUUAGGUUUUUGUUCGCUUUCUAACCAUUCCUUUGGAUAAAUAGAAGUGCGAUGGCGACUCGACUUGUAUGAUUUACCUUGGAUUUAGUCAAUAUCUCUAAUGGUAACGAAUACCCCGCUACACAAUGCAUGGUUUGAUUCAUACUCUGUCAUGGUUAACGGUUGGUUAACAAUGGUUAACAUAAUUUCAUUUGAAUCAUGAGUGCCAUAGUCACUAAAGGGUCUUUUU
Molecule: long non-coding RNA, 230 nt
Filed under: Lathyrus oleraceus (garden pea)
Lineage: Eukaryota; Viridiplantae; Streptophyta; Magnoliopsida; Fabales; Fabaceae
Description: Pisum sativum (pea) long non-coding RNA (PSAT_LNC042384)
Source: RNAcentral